Non-coding RNA from Mus musculus (house mouse), 191 nucleotides. The record is from Rfam. NCBI's taxonomy places the organism in Eukaryota, Metazoa, Chordata, Mammalia, Rodentia, Muridae.
GAACCUGUUUCAAAAGGAUUUAGAUGAAAACUAUCUUACAGGGGCUGUGAUUUCUACCCAGUGCUCUGAAUGUCAAAGUGAAGAAAUUCAAUGAAGCGCGGGUAAACGGCGGGAGUAACUAUGACUCUCUUAAGGUAGCCAAAUGCCUCGUCAUCUAAUUAGUGAUGUGCAUGAAUGGAUGAACAAGAUUC